GGAACAGACUAAGUACUCUAUUCUGAUUCUGAUGGUCUUAUUAUGGACUCCACAAUUCCUGUAUCAGGAUUCAGGAGAGAGAUGGAAAAUGAAGUCUUCUAAAGGAACAGCACAAAGUCCUUUGCAUCUUUGGGUCUCCCUCUCUUCCUUGCGGUUCUACACAAUUCCUUGGUCUUCCAUCAACUACAUGCUUCUGGCAUUUGCCUCGUCUGCUCGUCAGACGUCUGAUGACUGCAAGGAUAUUCAUAUGGACGCAAGGCGGGGGUCACUCUCAUUGCGUUACCACCAAUACAAUCAUAUGGAAAAAAAAAGUCACUACAAAUGAAUAUUUUUUCUUGUACUAUUUUGAUUCCCUAUAAAUCCAACAUAUAGCCUCCCUGUACAUUUUUCUUCCCUUGUUAAUUUCACUUUGACCUUUUUCUUUCAACGUUAAUCAACAACAAAUAUCAUUGUUGUGGUAAAAUUUUUAUCUCAAAGUAUUUUUUUAUGUUGACUUCAUGUCAGAAAAACCAAAAAAGGGAACCUUUUAGAGAGACCUUAUUCAUUGAUUGCUUUUUUGGAGUAAAGAUAUUUUUGGGGUUCAUCCAAUAAUGUGACUUAGCAUGCAUUUCAGGCAAACCUACUCUCAAAAAAGCAUGUAGGGGGUUGGUUUGACUAAUAAUGUAUUGCUCACCAGUAUUUCCCAUUUUUAGAAGCAUUCAUAAAAGAGGCUCACGAUGUACAAUCUGAGGCUCCAACCGAAAGAAAAGUCGAAAAAAACAAUCAACUAAUAAAAAUGCAACAAAAAUACUUAUGUUGUUCCAGAACUCCGAAUUAUAUUGGCAGGUCAAUGCAAUUUCAAAAUUAGGUAACUAGUGUCUACUGAAGGGGGAGCAAUCAAGAAGAGAAUACCUAAACCAAGCCUGGAAUGUUGGUCAUUCUCCCUUUUUCUUUAGAAACCAUAUAUGGCA
This 950-nucleotide long non-coding RNA is filed under the name Sorghum bicolor (sorghum). RNAcentral's name for it is "long non-coding RNA (SBIC_LNC005216)". Lineage: Eukaryota; Viridiplantae; Streptophyta; Magnoliopsida; Poales; Poaceae. The record is from RNAcentral.